AACGAACGCUGGCGGCAUGCCUAACACAUGCAAGUCGAACGAGACCUUCGGGUCUAGUGGCGCACGGGUGCGUAACGCGUGGGAACCUGCCCUUAGGUUCGGAAUAACUCCCCGAAAGGGGUGCUAAUACCGGAUAAUGUCUUCGGACCAAAGAUUUAUCGCUUUUGGAUGGGCCCGCGUUGGUUUAGCUAGUUGGUAGGGUAAAAGCAUCCCAAGGGGACGUUCCAUAGCUGGUCUGAGAGGAUGAUCAGCCACACUGGGACUGAGACACGGCCCAGACUCCUACGGGAGGCAGCAGUGGGGAAUAUUGGACAAUGGGCGAAAGCCUGAUCCAGCAAUGCCGCGUGAGUGAUGAAGGCCUUAGGGUUGUAAAGCUCUUUUACCCGGGAUGAUAAUGACAGUACCGGGAGAAUAAGCUCCGGCUAACUCCGUG
Molecule: ribosomal RNA, 433 nt
Filed under: uncultured bacterium
Lineage: Bacteria
Description: partial 16S ribosomal RNA
Rfam family: Bacterial small subunit ribosomal RNA
Source: RNAcentral